AACUAUAACGGUCCUAAGGUAGCGAAAUUCCUUGUCAGGUAAGUUCUGACCCGCAUGAAAGGCGUAAUGAUUUGGGCACUGUCUCAACAGCCCGCCCGGCGAAAUUGUAGUACCGGUGAAGAUGCCGGUUACCCGCGACAAGACGGAAAGACCCCAUGGAGCUUUACUGUAGCCUAAUAUUGGGUUUCGAUGUUGCAUGCACAGGAUAGAUGGGACACUGGGAAACAAGUGCUUUGGCAUUUGUGGAGUGGCCGUUGGGAUACCAUCCUUGCGAUAUUGGAAUUCUAACCUGCGCCUUUGAAUCAAGGCGGGGGACAUUGUUAGGUGGGCAGUUUGACUGGGGCGGUCGCCUCCUAAAGAGUAACGGAGGCGUUCAAAGGUUCGCUCAGCUUGAACGGAAAUCAAGCAAAAGAGUGCAAACGCAGAAGCGAGCCUAACUGCGAGACUGACGGGUCGAGCAGUAACGAAAGUUGGAGUUAGUGAUCCGGUGGUAUGUGAGUGGAAAUGCCAUCGCUCAACGGAUAAAAGUUACCCUGGGGAUAACAGGCUGAUCUCCCCCAAGAGUCCACAUCGACGGGGAGGUUUGGCACCUCGAUGUCGGCUCAUCGCAUCCUGGGGCUGUAUUCGGUCCCAAGGGUUUGGCUGUUCGCCAAUUAAAGCGGUACGCGAGCUGGGUUCAGAACGUCGUGAGACAGUUCGGUCCCUAUCUGUCGUGGGCGCAGGAUAUUUGAAAGGCGCUGUCCCUAGUACGAGAGGACCGGGAUGGACGAACCUCUGGUGCACCAGUUGUCACGCCAGUGGCACAGCUGGGCAGCUAUGUUCGGAUCGGAUAAACGCUGAAAGCAUCUAAGCGUGAAGCCGGCCUUAAGAUAAGAUAUCCCACUGAGAUAAUCAGGUAAGACCCCUUGAAGACUACAAGGUUGAUAGGCACAAUGUGUAAGUGGCGCGAGUCAUUGAGCAAGCGUGUACUAAUAGGUCGAGGGCUUGACCC
RNAcentral lists this ribosomal RNA (991 nucleotides) under human gut metagenome. RNAcentral describes it as "bacterial LSU rRNA". It matches the Rfam family "Bacterial large subunit ribosomal RNA", at positions 1938 to 2925 of the family's 2925-position model. The record is from RNAcentral.